AGCGAACGCUGGCGGCAGGCUUAACACAUGCAAGUCGAACGGUCCUUCGGGAUAGUGGCGGACGGGUGAGUAACACGUGGGAACGUACCCUUAGGUUCGGAACAACACAGGGAAACUUGUGCUAAUACCGGAUAAGCCCUUCGGGGGAAAGAUUUAUCGCCUUUGGAGCGGCCCGCGUCUGAUUAGCUUGUUGGUGAGGUAAUGGCUCACCAAGGCUACGAUCAGUAGCUGGUCUGAGAGGAUGGCCAGCCACACUGGGACUGAGACACGGCCCAGACUCCUACGGGAGGCAGCAGUGGGGAAUCUUGCGCAAUGGGCGAAAGCCUGACGCAGCCAUGCCGCGUGGAUGAUGAAGGUCUUAGGAUUGUAAAAUCCUUUCACCGGGGACGAUAAUGACGGUACCCGGAGAAGAAGCCCCGGCUAACUUCGUGCCAGCCGCCGCAGUAA
This 447-nucleotide ribosomal RNA is filed under the name uncultured bacterium. RNAcentral describes it as "partial 16S ribosomal RNA". It matches the Rfam family "Bacterial small subunit ribosomal RNA", at positions 29 to 523 of the family's 1533-position model. The record is from RNAcentral.